Molecule: ribosomal RNA, 424 nt
Filed under: uncultured bacterium
Lineage: Bacteria
Description: bacterial SSU rRNA
Rfam family: Bacterial small subunit ribosomal RNA
Source: RNAcentral
UGAGGAAUAUUGGGCAAUGGGCGCAAGCCUGACCCAGCCAUGCCGCGUGAAGGAUGAAUGCCCUAUGGGUUGUAAACUUCUUUUGUACGGGACGAAACUCUUGGUCGUGACCAGGAUUGACUGUACCGUGCGAAUAAGCAUCGGCUAACUCCGUGCCAGCAGCCGCGGUAAUACGGAGGAUGCAAGCGUUAUCCGGAUUCAUUGGGUUUAAAGGGUGCGUAGGCGGAAUAAUAAGUCAGUGGUGAAAGCCUGCGGCUUAACCGUAGAAUUGCCAUUGAUACUGUUAUUCUUGAGUAUAGUUGAGGUGGGCGGAAUGUGUAAUGUAGCGGUGAAAUGCUUAGAUAUUACACAGAACACCAAUUGCGAAGGCAGCUCACUAAGCUGUUACUGACGCUGAGGCACGAAAGCGUGGGGAGCAAACAGG